GAUGAACGCUAGCGGCAGGCUUAAUACAUGCAAGUCAAACGGGAUUAGUAGCAAUACUAAUUCAGUGGCGGACGGGUGAGUAACGCGUACACAACCUACCUUUCAGAGGGGGAUAGCAUCUGGAAACGGGUGGUAAUACCGCAUAGUUUUGGAGGAUGGCAUCAUUUUCCAAAUAAAGCUACGGCGCUGAGAGAUGGGUGUGCGUAUGAUUAGGUAGUUGGUAGGGUAAAGGCCUACCAAGCCGACGAUCAUUAGGGGGUGUGAGAGCAUGGCCCCCCACACGGGUACUGAGACACGGACCCGACUCCUACGGGAGGCAGCAGUAAGGAAUAUUGGUCAAUGGACGGAAGUCUGAACCAGCCAUGCCGCGUGCAGGAAGAAGGCGCUCUGCGUUGUAAACUGCUUUUAUAUGGGAAGAAUAGGCUUGAUUUAUCAAGUUGUGACGGUACCAUAGGAAUAAGCACCGGCUAACUCCGUG
Molecule: ribosomal RNA, 478 nt
Filed under: uncultured organism
Description: bacterial SSU rRNA
Rfam family: Bacterial small subunit ribosomal RNA
Source: RNAcentral